CCGUGCUAGGUGGGGAAUUAGCGGUGCCCUGUACCCACAAUCCGCUACAGUGGGACUGAAUCCCUGUCCGAGGUGAAGGCAUCUUAAGGUCUGCCGUAAGAGCGUAGUGUUGACGUCCGGGUCCUGUGCAACGGGAACCCGUGAACCCUGUCAGGUCCGGAAGGAAGCAGCAGUAAGCGGUCAUUCUUGUGUGUCGCAGGGUCACCUGGACCGAGCUACAAACUUACGUAACGCUUAUGGAUGUCUCCAUCAACGAUAGGUGCACGG
RNAcentral lists this signal recognition particle RNA (267 nucleotides) under Halalkalibacillus sediminis. RNAcentral's name for it is "Bacterial large signal recognition particle RNA". It matches the Rfam family "Bacterial large signal recognition particle RNA". Rfam says of the family: The signal recognition particle (SRP) is a universally conserved ribonucleoprotein involved in the co-translational targeting of proteins to membranes. Archaeal SRP consists of a 7S RNA and homologues of the eukaryotic SRP19 and SRP54 proteins. In most bacteria, the SRP consists of a 4.5S RNA and the Ffh protein (a homologue of the eukaryotic SRP54 protein). The record is from Rfam by way of RNAcentral. Lineage: Bacteria; Bacillati; Bacillota; Bacilli; Caryophanales; Bacillaceae.